AUUAGACCUCUGCAGACUGCAGACUUUCAACUGCAGACUGGGAGGUUACUAAGUCCUUAGCAGCUGAGUACAGAACACGAUGGAAAUGAAAACAUGGUACAACAGAGGUUACAGCCCUCUCCUGACCUGAUAAACUUCAUGAUGGAGCUAAAGAUGGUUUGGGAAGUUUCUCUGAAUCACAAGCAGAACUGUAUGUGCUGUCUCCUCCUGUCUGGAUCUACUCACUACUUGCUAAAGAGAAGAAUUUUGGUUUGGGAUAAAUUUAUGUGGAUCUUCGCUUUGGUGCCAUAAAGGUGGUAUCAGCCUGACCAUAAAGGACCCCCGAUGGGUGGGUGCCUGGUGGCUGGGUUUCCUCAUCGCUGCCGGUGCAGUGGCCCUGGCUGCCAUCCCCUACUUCUUCUUCCCCAAGGAAAUGCCCAAGGAAAAACGUGAGCUUCAGUUUCGGCGAAAGGUCUUAGCAGUCACAGACUCACCUGCCAGGAAGGGCAAGGACUCUCCCUCUAAGCAGAGCCCUGGGGAGUCCACGAAGAAGCAGGAUGGCCUAGUCCAGAUUGCACCAAACCUGACUGUGAUCCAGUUCAU
RNAcentral lists this small RNA (582 nucleotides) under Pan troglodytes (chimpanzee). RNAcentral describes it as "processed transcript". Lineage: Eukaryota; Metazoa; Chordata; Mammalia; Primates; Hominidae. The record is from RNAcentral.